UUUUCCCAGAUGAACAUGAAGAUCUCUAUCUUUGCGGUGUUCUGCUGAUCUCUGCUGUCGGGCUCUCUGUGGACGGAGAAAACUCCCGCUGAGAUGUUCAAGCCACAGCAUUUCAACAAGGUG
Molecule: long non-coding RNA, 123 nt
Organism: Etheostoma spectabile (orangethroat darter)
Lineage: Eukaryota; Metazoa; Chordata; Actinopteri; Perciformes; Percidae
Exons: 4
Source: RefSeq, a predicted model, not a curated record